GUAAAGCGUCUGUAGGUGGUUUAGUAAGUCGAUUGUUAAAGCUUGAGGCUCAACUUCAAAACAGCAAUGGAAACUGCUAGACUUGAGUAUGGUAGAGGUAAGAGGAAUUUCCAGUGGAGCGGUGAAAUGCGUAGAUAUUGGAAAGAACACCGAUGGCGAAGGCAUCUUACUGGGCCAUAACUGACACUCAGAGACGAAAGCUAGGGUAGCAAAUGGGAUUAGAUACCCCAGUAGUCCUAGCUGUAAACGAUGGAUACUCGAUGUUGCACGUAUCGACUCGUGCAGUGUCCUAGCUAACGCGUUAAGUAUCCCGCCUGGGAAGUAUGCACGCAAGUGUGAAACUCAAAGGAAUUGACGGGGGCCCGCACAAGCGGUGGAGCAUGUGGUUUAAUUUGAUGCAACGCGAAGAACCUUACCAGGGUUUGACAUGACAUGAAUUUUUCUGAGAAGAGAAAGUGCCUUUUGGAACAUGUACACAGGUGGUGCAUGGCU
This 492-nucleotide ribosomal RNA is filed under the name uncultured bacterium. Its description in RNAcentral is "bacterial SSU rRNA". It matches the Rfam family "Bacterial small subunit ribosomal RNA", at positions 560 to 1050 of the family's 1533-position model. The record is from RNAcentral.